CCUUUCAAUGCAGCAGAAUUGGGAUGGUUGAGUAUCUCGCCUCUCCGUUCUGCCUGUAUUCUACCCUUGUUUGUCAUAUACUAUUAUUUCCUCGGCAGGCUUGCCUGCCGAGUGAAACCAUUAUAACCUUUUUAAUUUUCAAUCAGCGUCUGAAAAAAUUAAUAAUUA
Molecule: unclassified non-coding RNA, 168 nt
Filed under: soil metagenome
Description: partial internal transcribed spacer 1
Source: RNAcentral